RNAcentral lists this long non-coding RNA (341 nucleotides) under Pelobates cultripes (western spadefoot toad). The record is from RNAcentral. Lineage: Eukaryota; Metazoa; Chordata; Amphibia; Anura; Pelobatidae.
AUUAAGAUGGCUGCUAGAAGCUUCUUGCUCCUUUCCCCCCCCCCCCUUCCCUUUCUCCUUCCUAACAUCGACUAACUACCUCGUGCACCAAGAUGGCGCCGGGAAACCGUGGGAGACCCUCAUGGUCCCGGUGACAUCACCUACAGUAGGCAGAACAUUAGAGCAACCACUUAACACCUAACCAAUAAUUGAUGUAUUAUUCCCUGUUAUCUCUGACAAUGCUUAUGAUGUAAUUUUGCUUUAAAAGGGACUUGCCGUCCCCUCUGAAUAAACAUUCCUCAAGUUAUUCAACAACCUGGAACCUGUGUCUGGUGUGAAUUACUUCAGGGAGCGUGCACGCA